This is a long non-coding RNA of Biomphalaria glabrata, 679 nucleotides long. RefSeq lists it as uncharacterized. The transcript has 3 exons. Lineage: Eukaryota; Metazoa; Mollusca; Gastropoda; Planorbidae. The record is from RefSeq and is a predicted model, not a curated record.
AUAUAAAUAUAAACAGUAAAUCCAAAUAUCUUGUAAAUAUUAAGUAGAACGCCGUGUUGUGUAGCAAGUAGAAUGUGUAGAGCUCAGUUUGAAUAGUGUCUGUGCUGUCUUAGUGUUGCAAAAGGGUAUUAAAUCCUACAUGAUCUGUUCGAUGGUAAAUGCACCAAUGAAAUCAACUGUGAACAAUUUUUGAAUCCUCGCUACUGGAACAGAUAUGUCAUAGUGUACAACAUCGUGUUGUCUGUCUGAGGUCAAUGGAAGUGGGAGAGCGUACAAAAGGUACAACAAAUAGAUGUGUAAAGUUUCAACUUGAUUUGAGAAUGGGUGUGGGAGAAACAACGUGUAGAAACAUUGUACCAGACAGACAGACAGAGUGAACAUAAGCUUUGUUAAAACAGUAGAGCAGCUUCAAUAAAUAUUUUAUUGACCUUGAGGUUUACACUAAAACUGAACAGAAUGAGUUAAUGUUACUAUAUUUAGAUGUAGAUAUAAUUUGUUUCAGUUUUAACAUAAGUUUCUAUUUAAAAAAUGUAAUCCAUACACUCCCUUAAUUUCCUAGUAAAAGAUGUACAUCAAACCAAAUAGAAAUAUACUAGUAAAAAUUGUGAAGCCUGGAAGCAGUGUUAAACUUGAAUUAAAUGUACAAAUUAAGUCCGGUCAUAAUUUUUUUUUCUUUUUU